This 549-nucleotide ribosomal RNA is filed under the name uncultured bacterium. Its description in RNAcentral is "bacterial SSU rRNA". It matches the Rfam family "Bacterial small subunit ribosomal RNA", at positions 355 to 896 of the family's 1533-position model. The record is from RNAcentral.
UAGGGAAUCUUCCACAAUGGACGCAAGUCUGAUGGAGCAACGCCGCGUGAGUGAAGAAGGUUUUCGGAUCGUAAAGCUCUGUUGUUGGUGAAGAAGGAUAGAGGUAGUAACUGGCCUUUAUUUGACNGUAAUCAACCAGAAAGUCACGGCUAACUACGUGCCAGCAGCCGCGGUAAUACGUAGGUGGCAAGCGUUGUCCGGAUUUAUUGGGCGUAAAGCGAGCGCAGGCGGAAAAAUAAGUCUAAUGUGAAAGCCCUCGGCUUAACCGAGGAACUGCAUCGGAAACUGUUUUUCUUGAGUGCAGAGGAGGAGAGUGGAACUCCAUGUGUAGCGGUGGAAUGCGUAGAUAUAUGGAAGAACACCAGUGGCGAAGGCGGCUCUCUGGUCUGCAACUGACGCUGAGGCUCGAAAGCAUGGGUAGCGAACAGGAUUAGAUACCCUGGUAGUCCAUGCCGUAAACGAUGAGUGCUAAGUGUUGGGAGGUUUCCGCCUCUCAGUGCUGCAGCUAACGCAUUAAGCACUCCGCCUGGGGAGUACGACCGCAAGUUG